Molecule: ribosomal RNA, 325 nt
Filed under: uncultured eukaryote
Lineage: Eukaryota
Description: partial 18S ribosomal RNA
Rfam family: Eukaryotic small subunit ribosomal RNA
Source: RNAcentral
CCCUUAGAUGUUCUGGGCCGCACGCGCGCUACACUGAUGCAUUCAACGAGCCUAUCCUUGACCGACAGGUCCGGGUAAUCUUUGAAUCUGCAUCGUGACGGGGAUAGAUUAUUGCAAUUAUUAAUCUUCAACGAGGAAUGCCUAGUAAGCGCAAGUCAACAGCUUGCGUUGAUUACGUCCCUGCCCUUUGUACACACCGCCCGUCGCUACUACUGAUUGGAUGUUUAAGCGAGGUUCUCGAACUGCUAGCGACUUAGCUUCGGUGAGGUCGCAGUGUGGGAAGUGAACCUAGCUUUGGUGUCUAGAGGAAGUAAAAGUCGUAACA